RNAcentral lists this ribosomal RNA (428 nucleotides) under uncultured bacterium. RNAcentral describes it as "bacterial SSU rRNA". It matches the Rfam family "Bacterial small subunit ribosomal RNA", at positions 355 to 775 of the family's 1533-position model. The record is from RNAcentral.
UGGGGAAUAUUGGACAAUGGGGGCAACCCUGAUCCAGCGAUGCCGCGUGAGUGAAGAAGGCCUUCGGGUCAUAAAGCUCUUUAGGUUGGGAAGAAGUGCCUUGGAGAAAUACUCUUGGGUGUUGACGGUACCGACAGAAUAAGCACCGGCAAACUCUGUGCCAGCAGCCGCGGUAAUACAGAGGGUGCGAGCGUUAAUCGGAGUUACUGGGCGUAAAGGGCGCGUAGGCGGUACUAUGAGUGUGAUGUGAAAGCCCCGGGCUUAACCUGGGAAGUGCAUCGCAAACGAUAGAACUGGAGUAGAUGAGAGGGUGGCGGAAUUUCCGGUGUAGCGGUGAAAUGCGUAGAGAUCGGAAGGAACGUCAAUGGCGAAGGCAGCCACCUGGCAUCAUACUGACGCUGAGGCGCGAAAGCGUGGGUAGCGAACAG